Molecule: long non-coding RNA, 788 nt
Organism: Cataglyphis hispanica
Lineage: Eukaryota; Metazoa; Arthropoda; Insecta; Hymenoptera; Formicidae
Exons: 3
Source: RefSeq, a predicted model, not a curated record
UUCAAGAAAACAGAGGAGAUCAGUUUCGACAUAGCUUCCGCCGCUUUUAAAUAUUAGCGUAAUCUCUUCGCUUUUGCUGACGUAUUUGCCAAGGUUGUAUAUACGAUAUUUCACGAUAUGAUGGAUAAAAUAAUAUACGGCUUAGCCAGUUUCGCCAGUCUUUUUCCCACUUUUCCUCGCCUUCGGUCGUGGUCAGGCUUAUUGAUAGUUAUUCAGUAUGUCUUGGCAUGCGUGCACGUGCUUCGCGUGUUCCUUAGUCACGUGCACGCCCGGCGGAUACCGUGGGACGAGUGGCAGAAGUAGAAAGGAGCCCCUUGCGCCAAAGCGUAAUCGCUCGCCGAAAACCAAAUGAUGGGGGCGGCAAGGACGGUGCAAUGGAAAAGGAUGCCACGCUUCAAACGCCGUCAUUAGAACACAAAGACAAAGAAAAAGUGCGCAAAUGACAUCUACCGCCGACGUUGUCUUUUAAUUGAACACGCAAGAACCUCGGACGCAUUUCAAUUUCGCAAAACUUGACGAAUAGCUACGAAACGCAAAUGAUUCUCCGUUACAACGGCCGUUUUUACAACACAAAAGAACAUCUAUAUUAGGACCGUAGAAAAGCGGUAACUCGCUUAAUGAGACGCUUUGAUUCUUCCGAUGGUCGUCGAUCGCGAACUCGUUAAUGCUUCUUACAUCAUCCUAAUAUGCGGACAGUCGCAAAGAUGAUAUACCACGCACGCCAAUGUCGCUACGAUUCAAUCAAGCCAUUAAAAAUAUGAGACCGCCUUUGCUCUUUUACUACAUCA